This 884-nucleotide ribosomal RNA is filed under the name Streptococcus salivarius. RNAcentral's name for it is "bacterial SSU rRNA". It matches the Rfam family "Bacterial small subunit ribosomal RNA", at positions 23 to 889 of the family's 1533-position model. Lineage: Bacteria; Bacillati; Bacillota; Bacilli; Lactobacillales; Streptococcaceae. The record is from RNAcentral.
UCCCAGACGAACGCUGGCGGCGUGCCUAAUACAUGCAAGUAGAACGCUGAAGAGAGGAGCUUGCUCUUCUUGGAUGAGUUGCGAACGGGUGAGUAACGCGUAGGUAACCUGCCUUGUAGCGGGGGAUAACUAUUGGAAACGAUAGCUAAUACCGCAUAACAAUGGAUGACACAUGUCAUUUAUUUGAAAGGGGCAAUUGCUCCACUACAAGAUGGACCUGCGUUGUAUUAGCUAGUAGGUGAGGUAACGGCUCACCUAGGCGACGAUACAUAGCCGACCUGAGAGGGUGAUCGGCCACACUGGGACUGAGACACGGCCCAGACUCCUACGGGAGGCAGCAGUAGGGAAUCUUCGGCAAUGGGGGCAACCCUGACCGAGCAACGCCGCGUGAGUGAAGAAGGUUUUCGGAUCGUAAAGCUCUGUUGUAAGUCAAGAACGAGUGUGAGAGUGGAAAGUUCACACUGUGACGGUAGCUUACCAGAAAGGGACGGCUAACUACGUGCCAGCAGCCGCGGUAAUACGUAGGUCCCGAGCGUUGUCCGGAUUUAUUGGGCGUAAAGCGAGCGCAGGCGGUUUGAUAAGUCUGAAGUUAAAGGCUGUGGCUCAACCAUAGUUCGCUUUGGAAACUGUCAAACUUGAGUGCAGAAGGGGAGAGUGGAAUUCCAUGUGUAGCGGUGAAAUGCGUAGAUAUAUGGAGGAACACCGGUGGCGAAAGCGGCUCUCUGGUCUGUAACUGACGCUGAGGCUCGAAAGCGUGGGGAGCGAACAGGAUUAGAUACCCUGGUAGUCCACGCCGUAAACGAUGAGUGCUAGGUGUUGGAUCCUUUCCGGGAUUCAGUGCCGCAGCUAACGCAUUAAGCACUCCGCCUGAGACGUCUACUUGG